GAUGAACGCUGGCGGCGUGCCUAAUACAUGCAAGUCGAGCGAACAGACGAGGAGCUUGCUCCUUUGACGUUAGCGGCGGACGGGAGAGUAACACGUAGGUAACCUACCUAUAAGACUGGGAUAACUUCGGGAAACCGGAGCUAAUACCGGAUAAUAUUUCGAACCGCAUGGUUCGAUAGUGAAAGAUGGCUUUGCUAUCACUUAUAGAUGGACCUGCGCCGUAUUAGCUAGUUGGUAAGGUAACGGCUUACCAAGGCAACGAUACGUAGCCGACCUGAGGGUGAUCGGCCACACUGGAACUGAGACACGGUCCAGACUCCUACGGGAGGCAGCAGUAGGGAAUCUUCCGCAAAGGGCGAAAGCCUGACGGAGCAACGCCGCGUGAGUGAUGAAGGUCUUCGGAUCGUAAAACUCUGUUAUUAGGGAAGAACAAACGUGUAAGUAACUGUGCACGUCUUGACGGUACCUAAUCAGAAAGCCACGGCUAACUACGUG
RNAcentral lists this ribosomal RNA (495 nucleotides) under uncultured bacterium. RNAcentral's name for it is "partial 16S ribosomal RNA". It matches the Rfam family "Bacterial small subunit ribosomal RNA", at positions 28 to 507 of the family's 1533-position model. The record is from RNAcentral.